This 637-nucleotide ribosomal RNA is filed under the name uncultured bacterium. RNAcentral's name for it is "bacterial SSU rRNA". It matches the Rfam family "Bacterial small subunit ribosomal RNA", at positions 202 to 842 of the family's 1533-position model. The record is from RNAcentral.
UAAAGGAUUAUCGCUGAUAGAUGGGCAUGCGUUCCAUUAGAUAGUUGGUGAGGUAACGGCUCACCAAGUCCACGAUGGAUAGGGGUUCUGAGAGGAAGGUCCCCCACACUGGUACUGAGACACGGACCAGACUCCUACGGGAGGCAGCAGUGAGGAAUAUUGGUCAAUGGGCGAGAGCCUGAACCAGCCAAGUCGCGUGAAGGAUGAAGGAUCUAUGGUUUGUAAACUUCUUUUAUAUGGGAAUAAAGUGAGGAACGUGUUCCUUUUUGUAUGUACCAUAUGAAUAAGCAUCGGCUAACUCCGUGCCAGCAGCCGCGGUAAUACGGAGGAUGCGAGCGUUAUCCGGAUUUAUUGGGUUUAAAGGGUGCGUAGGUGGUUAAUUAAGUCAGCGGUGAAAGUUUGUGGCUCAACCAUAAAAUUGCCGUUGAAACUGGUUGACUUGAGUAUAUUUGAGGUAGGCGGAAUGCGUGGUGUAGCGGUGAAAUGCAUAGAUAUCACGCAGAACUCCGAUUGCGAAGGCAGCUUACUAAACUAUAACUGACACUGAAGCACGAAAGCGUGGGGAUCAAACAGGAUUAGAUACCCCGGUAGUCCACGCAGUAAACGAUGAUUACUAGCUGUUUGCGAUACACAGUAA